UACAGAGGGUGCAAGCGUUAAUCGGAGUUACUGGGCGUAAAGGGCGCGUAGGCGGUUAGAUAAGUGAGAUGUGAAAUCCCUGGGCUUAACCUAGGAACUGCAUCUCAUACUGUAUAGCUAGAGUAUUGUAGAGGGUAGUGGAAUUUCCGGUGUAGCGGUGAAAUGCGUAGAGAUCGGAAGGAACACCAGUGGCGAAGGCGGCUACCUGGACAAAUACUGACGCUGAGGCGCGAAAGCGUGGGGAGCAAACAGG
Molecule: ribosomal RNA, 253 nt
Filed under: uncultured bacterium
Lineage: Bacteria
Description: partial 16S ribosomal RNA
Rfam family: Bacterial small subunit ribosomal RNA
Source: RNAcentral